UUAAAACCUCUCCCAGAUUUGCUGAUUUUCUGAUUAUAGAAAAGAAAGAAAAGGCUAUUUUCACUUUCUGGAAUGACUGAAGAAAGCAUUCAACUUUGUUGAGCCUAAAUUUGUGGAUAACUGUUGAACCUUCCCAUAUGGAAUAUAUUUAAAUACUCUCUGAGCCUGUUGUAUUCUGCUCUUUUUAUUUUCAGAAAAAGGAAUUUCCAGCCAAAAGCAGACUCUGUGCCCUAACAAAGAAUGUACUGGGUAUACUGGGCUGAACAAUAUAAAAAUGAACCUGAAGUACUAUUAAUAUCUCUCUUUCUUUGACCAUGUAUGAAUUCUUCAAACUAAAGGGUUGUAGAGAAAAACCAUAGUAGCCUAAAAUUUCCAGGGAUUAAUACAAAGUUUAUUGAAGAAAUCUCCCCCAAAGAAAACUAGCUUCUCCCAGUUUAUAAUGUCCUCCUUCUUCUCAGGGACCCUCUUGACAGACACACGUUCGUGAAUAUAAAGAACUGGAAAGGGAUGUGCACCUCUGCAUUUGUUUUUUUCUUUCUUCAUGGCUUAGCUGUAAGAAUGAUUCACCUCUAUGCUUUCCUCCCUCUGAUGUCCUCCAGACUUCUUCAGAAGUCGAUGACCAGAGAGAAGGUGGUGAGGAUAUACAGUAUCACAACAGGAAAGUUUCUGGAGAUCAUCUAAUAAGUAAGUGCCUAGAUUCUAAUCUAAGCCUCUAAUUUUCCAUCUGGGGACACUGAGGUUCAGUGAA
Molecule: long non-coding RNA, 748 nt
Organism: Aotus nancymaae (Ma's night monkey)
Lineage: Eukaryota; Metazoa; Chordata; Mammalia; Primates; Aotidae
Source: Ensembl